RNAcentral lists this ribosomal RNA (1413 nucleotides) under metagenome. RNAcentral's name for it is "SSU rRNA". It matches the Rfam family "Eukaryotic small subunit ribosomal RNA", at positions 484 to 1823 of the family's 1831-position model. The record is from RNAcentral.
CUCUGGUCCUCACAAAGGAUCGGUAAUUGGAAUGAGGACGAUUUAAAAUAACUACCGAGUAGCAAUUACAGGGCAAGUCUGGUGCCAGCAGCCGCGGUAAUUCCAGCUGUAAUAGCGUAUUUUAAAGUUGUUGCAGUUAAAACGCUCGUAGUUGGACUUUAGGAUGCGAUGGGUUCGGUCCGCGUUAAGCGAGUACUAGCCUGUCCAUUCUCCUUAUGGGAUACUCACCUCUGCGCUUAACUGAGUGGAGGUAGCAGCCGGGCAACCGGUCGGGUUCCCAUUCUUUUACUUUGAAUAAAUCGUAUUUUGAUCAAAGAAGGCCGGAGUGCCAAUGGUCGAUGCAGCAUGGGAUAAUACAAUAAGCGUCUGUCUUGUUGUGUUGGUUUCUUAAAGAUGGACGAAUGAUUAAGAGGGAUAGUUGGGGGUUUUCGUAUUUAAUUGUCAGAGGUGAAAUUCUUGGAUUUGUUAAAGACGAACUACUGCGAAAGCAUUAACCAAGGAUGUUUUCAUUAAUCAAGAACGAAAGUAGGGGGAUCGAAGACGAUCAGAUACCGUCGUAGUCUCUACCAUAAACGAUGCCGACCAGUUAUUCGGAGACGUUAUUCUUAUGACUCCCCGAGCAGCUUGUGAGAAAUCAGAGUGUUUGGGUUCUGGGGGGAGUAUGGUCGCAAGGCUGAAACUUGAAGAAAUUGACGGAGGGGCACCACCAGGAGUGGAGCCUGCGGCUUAAUUUGACCCAACACGGGGAAGCUUACCAGGUCCAGACAAAGUAAGGAUUGACAGAUUGAGCGCUCUUUCUUGAUUCUUUGGGUGGUGGUGCAUGGCCGUUCUUAGUUGGUGGAGUGAUUUGUCUGGUUAAUUCCGAUAACGAACGAGACCUUAACCUGCUAAAUAGUCACUGGAAGCUACUAUCAAAGCACGUCGCGGAGUAGGGUGAAGUCUCUGAUGGAGCCCGAGGACGCGGCGUGUGGUUGCUUCCAGGAUGUACUUCUUAGAGGGACUUUCUGAAUUCAAGCAGAAGGAAGUUUGAGGCAAUAACAGGUCUGUGAUGCCCUUAGAUGUUCUGGGCCGCACGCGCGCUACACUGAUUACUUCAACGAGUUUACCACCUUGCUCGGAAGAGCUGGGUAACCUUUCUGAAAAGUAAUCGUGCUGAGGUUAGAUCAUUGUAAUUAUUGAUCUCUAAUCAGGAAUUCCUAGUAAGUGCGAGUCAUCAGCUCGCGUUGAUUACGUCCCCGCCCUUUGUACACACCGCCCGUCGCUGCUACUGAUUGGAUGAUCCGGCCAGUUGUUCGGAGCUGGACCGACGCUUUGGGGGCAACUCUGAAGUAAGGUUUGGCAAAGUCCAACCAGCCUUAUUAUCUAGAAGAAGCAGAAGUCGUAACAAGGUAUCUGUAGGUGAACCUGCAGAUG